CCUACGGGAGGCAGCAGUCGAGAAUCAUUCGCAAUGGACGAAAGUCUGACGGUGCGACGCCGCGUGGAGGAUGACGGCCUUAGGGUUGUAAACUCCUGUCAUCAGGGAGUAAGGCAGUUCUAGUUAAUAGCUAUUACUGUUGAUAGUACCUGAAGAGGAAGAGACGGCUAACUCUGUGCCAGCAGCCGCGGUAAU
Molecule: ribosomal RNA, 195 nt
Filed under: uncultured bacterium
Lineage: Bacteria
Description: partial 16S ribosomal RNA
Rfam family: Bacterial small subunit ribosomal RNA
Source: RNAcentral